This is a long non-coding RNA of Anopheles arabiensis, 1552 nucleotides long. RefSeq lists it as uncharacterized. NCBI's taxonomy places the organism in Eukaryota, Metazoa, Arthropoda, Insecta, Diptera, Culicidae. The record is from RefSeq and is a predicted model, not a curated record. The transcript is spliced from 3 exons.
GUACAAAACAUAAUCAAUGAAUUCAUCAAAAUGAUAUCAUGUGUUUAACAAAAUGUGUUUAUCUUUUGUCUUUACGUGUGGAUUUUGGUCGUCUACAAAGAGAUUGUUAAUGGAACAGAAAGCUGCUUAUAUUUGUAACAACUGGAAAUAUUUAUUUAUUAUGUUCUAUUGCUUGAUACGGCGUCCCAUCGUCCUAUCACACUGUUCAUCGAGACAAUAGUGUAAAUGAAAUAUGAAAUAUCACAACAAACCUACCCUUUGCCGUUCACCGUUACCGAUACCGUUCACCCGAUCUAGAUAAGACGUUCAACUUUUCCAUCCUAAACCAGCGUCCUGAACUUUGUCUGCAUGCUACGUCCUUGGGUCAUAUAUGGCUUACGAGAAUCAUAAAACUCUAGGGUCGAAAAUACAUAUCGCGCUCUCGAAAUUCUGGGUCGUGUGUUUUCGGCCUAAGAUCAGUACGGUGCGUUGUUGGAAUAGUAUUUUGCAGGUCAAUGCGAAAUUGCCGUAUUUGAACAUUUAAACGAUUUGAUGUCGCAUAUUACACCCCAGACGAGUAUGUUCCUUGUGAGCAAUACCGCAAUCUUAGUAAUACCACAUCAUCCAGUGUUUGAUCACUUUGAAUUACUACAGGCUCCUUCCAAACUUAUACUUAAAAUUAUCAUCAAAAUCGGGUUAGUUACAGCAAAUAACGAUACAACGCAUAAAGGCAUCAUUAUAAUCUUAAAAAAUGAGCGAAUAUCUUACAUUACGGGUUUGGCGAUUCAUCUAAUGACUACGGGACAUUGGGACAAUGUUUUACAAAGUUGAUAAAAAUCAAGGCUGCGUAUCUGGAAUCCAUUGAAGUGGCGCACUGACUUAGGUAAAAAACGUCGUAUUGCAAUGCAUCAAAAACGCUUGUAAAUUACUCCCGACGUAGAAUACACAAUUCAUUGUGCUGAAUAAGCAAAUACGGUAAAGCAGUGGUGGGUUUAGGGUAUCAGGGGCCCUGGGCGGUAAGACGAGUUGAGGCCCCCUGUAAAUGGUAAAUGGUGAGCGCCAGCGAAUGACGCCAGCGUCAGGGCCCCAACGUACAUCCUUCCGGGGCCCUUGUCGCUAGUACUCUGUAGUAUGCAGUAUGUGUAAAAGUAUGAUACGGGGACUAGCGAUUUCCGGGCCCUAAAACGGCGGGGCCCAAGGCGACCGCCUAGUCCGCCUACCGUUAGAUCCACCGCUGCGGUAAAGUACUCUUACUAGCUUGCUAGGUUGCUAUUCCAAGUCCAUCAGUACGUAGUGCGUGUUAUAUUAAUUAUUCCAGGUAUAGUUUUACGUAGUUGUAAAAACGUGUACGAAAUAAAACUAAAGCAGUAAAUAAUAUUCGGAAUGUAGUACCAACCUACUGACAAUAAACAAUAAGAAUGCAUAUAGCAUGCACUGCAUACUGGAGUUAUACAUGAAAUUUGAAUAGCAAAUUAAGCGAUCUUUGGCCGUUUGUGUCGGUUUAGCAUAUCAGUUUGCAGUUGUAUAGUGAUUUUUACUUUUAUGAAAUUUUCGUAGAAUAAUAAUAGUACAA